AGAUAAAUUAAUGAAAGUUUAUCAAACAUAAUCCAAUACGUCUGCUCUGAUAUGAAGUCAUAUUUCAAUGUGAUGGUUUUAUCUUUGCUUCCAGAUACAAGAGAAUUAAUUGUUGCUGGUCUACCAACCCUUACCUGGCUACCUGAAUUUAUACCUGCCGUCAUCACCCUUAGUAUAUCAGCAUCCUGACACUUGGAAUUUGAAGUUUGGAGACUCCAGUCUCUUAGAGAGACCAACAGACAUCUUCAGAUCACAGUUUCAAAGGAGAACAAAAGGUCACUGCACUAAGACACAGUUCUAGGUUUACUCAAACGCAGUUGCCGGGGAUGUUGCUGUUCAGAGGCGCUGUCCCAGAAAUGAAAUUAUUCUGAUGAUGAUUACGUGUGCAAGGGAAGAACUGAUUACACACCAAGUAGAAUUUAAAAGUUGAGGAUUUACAGGGUCCAUCAUCAAUUUCAUGUCAGCUUACUAUUGUUUUGCUUCAUAUAAUGCCGAUCAAAACCUUCCCAUAAAAUGAAAAUACAAGCUUUUUACUUUGGGAUGAAAAACUCACCGGGGCUCUUCCUGUAUAUUGAAGGAUACCAUUGUGAAUUGAAUUUUGUCCGCUAAAUGAUAUAUCGGAAAUUGGAUCUUUACUGAUGCAAUCAGGUUCAGAUGAGGCUAAUUGAAUAAAUACAACGAGGGACCUCAUAUAAUGACUGAUUGCCUUAAAGAAGAGAAAUUUGGGCAUACACAGCCACAUGGAAGGACGUAGAGACACGCCUUGAGGUGGAGAUCGCUGCGGUGAGUCUAGAA
Long non-coding RNA from Talpa occidentalis (Iberian mole), 795 nucleotides. RefSeq lists it as uncharacterized. NCBI's taxonomy places the organism in Eukaryota, Metazoa, Chordata, Mammalia, Eulipotyphla, Talpidae. The transcript is spliced from 5 exons. The record is from RefSeq and is a predicted model, not a curated record.